UAAACGAGUUAGUGAGUUGACUCGGGGGUGAUUUUGACUGAGUUGUGUUAACUCGUAUGUAAACCCGGGAGGUACUUUCUAAAAUUCAAAAUGAAGGAACCUUUUUAGGUUUUUUCUAUUGCAAGUGAUGCAACUAGGUGUACUCGUAAAUGGUACAACCAAAUCUAUUUCUUUAAAGUCUUUGUUUUAUUCGACUUAUUUUGCCUUAUUUCAGUUAAAAUAAGUUUAGAUAAGAUCAGAUAAAUUCAGAUAAUAUAAGUUUGAUUAUCAAUUUUUUUCGGAUAUUUUCACCCACAAAUAAAUUUUAUCGGACAAAAUAAAUCAUUUUCAUAUAAAAUUAGUUUAGAAAAGUUAAGUUAAAUUCAGUUAAUUUCAGAUAAUAUAAGUUCAGUCAAAAUUAGUCCAAUAGAACCGAGCGUAAGUGGGGGGUUGACUCAGUACAAACUACCCCAGUCAACCCGCUCUAACCAUAACCCGGCCUAAUACAUUAUGGAGUAUUCAGAUAGACAAGUGACUAAAACAAAAGCAAAAGCACGUUUUUUUUUUGACUCAGAGGCAUAACUAAAAGUAAUGGGAGACUUGAUUUUGAAAGAACAAUGAACUCGGGCGAUUCAAACCGGUAUCAACAAAUUUGAAAUGCAAAGAGAGGGAAGGAGGGAGAGAGAGAGAAGACGUACUGGGGAGUGCAUCGUCCUCUGUGUACAGGGAAGAGGAAGCCAGGCCUAGCAGCAGAUGUUGAAGAAGAUGCGAAGUAGCAGCAAAGAAUCAAGAACAGAGCGAGUUGACUCAGUGAAUGAGGAGAGUUCACCAUUUCUAAAGGAAGAGAAUAUGAAAAGGAGGUUCACCCUUAUGGAUAAUUCGAAUUUGGGGCAAGUUCUGAGUAGAUAGGUUUCAGUCCCCUUCCAAUUGUUGUUGCGAGGGAUCGAACAUGGGUGCUCCCUAUCAAGUUCAGCCUCAAUCACCACUAAACGAACAAGCAAUUGGUGUGACAAUAUAAAUUAUAAAUGAGGAAUUAGAGAAGGUUCUUGAGGUGGGCCAGGCUUCAUUACCAUAACUUUCUAAUUGGAGAUGAAUUUAUCGGGAUUACUGACAUCAUCACCACCAAGGAGAUAGAAUUUUUCAGAAUCAUCAGCGAAGAAUUCGAGAGCUUUGGAUUUGAAAGAGAAAGCGAAUUUCAUGAACAUUUCGGAAAUUUGAGGGGUUUUGAUUCGUUAGUUUAAUCGAAAUGCUGGAUUGGGAAUUACGAUUCUUUUGAAUUUGUUUGUGCAACUAUGCUUAGUUAUAAUUGGUUAAUAGUUGCUUUUGAUGGUUUAGUUUUUGUUGGAAAUGCUGGUUUUUUAUGAAUCAAUG
Long non-coding RNA from Spinacia oleracea (spinach), 1350 nucleotides. RefSeq lists it as uncharacterized. NCBI's taxonomy places the organism in Eukaryota, Viridiplantae, Streptophyta, Magnoliopsida, Caryophyllales, Amaranthaceae. The transcript has 3 exons. The record is from RefSeq and is a predicted model, not a curated record.